RNAcentral lists this ribosomal RNA (111 nucleotides) under Acanthosepion pharaonis. Lineage: Eukaryota; Metazoa; Mollusca; Cephalopoda; Sepiida; Sepiidae. The record is from RNAcentral.
GACGGCCAUAUCACGUUGAAGCAUAGGUUCCUGUAUGAUCACCGAAGUUAAGCAACGUCGAGCCUGGUCAGUAUCUAGACGGGUGACCGUUUGGGAAUACCAGGUAUUGUA